UCGCGAAUCAUUGGCAAUGUACGAAAGUAUGACCAUGCCACGCCGCGUGGACGAUGAAGGCCUUCGGGUUGUAAAGUCCUGUCAGGGGUGAGGAACCGUACCGGUUUACCGGUGCCUGACGUUAGCCCCAGAGGAAGUCACGGCUAACUCCGUGCCAGCAGCCGCGGUAAGACGGAGGUGGCGAACGCUGUUCGGAAUCACUGGGCUUAAAGGGCGUGUAGGCGGCAGAUCAAGUCGGAUGUGAAAUCCCUCGGCUUAACCGAGGAACUGCACCCGAUACUGGUCAGCUAGAGUGCGGGAGGGGUGAGUGGAACUCCAGGUGUAGCGGUGAAAUGCGUAGAUAUCUGGAGGAACGCCGGUGGCGAAAGCGACUCACUGGCCCGCAACUGACGCUGAGGCGCGAAAGCUAGGGGAGCGAACGGGAUUAGAUACCCCCGUAGUCC
RNAcentral lists this ribosomal RNA (443 nucleotides) under uncultured prokaryote. RNAcentral describes it as "bacterial SSU rRNA". It matches the Rfam family "Bacterial small subunit ribosomal RNA", at positions 355 to 796 of the family's 1533-position model. The record is from RNAcentral.